AGGAUNCGAGCGUUAUCCGGAUUUAUUGGGUUUAAANGGUGCGUAGGCGGUUUGUUAAGUCAGUGGUGAAANGUUUGCGCUUAACGUAGACAUUNCCAUUGAAACUGGCAGACUUGAGUACAAAUGAGGUAGGCGGAAUGUGUUGUGUAGCGGUGAAAUGCAUAGAUAUGACACAGAACNCCAAUUGCGAAGGCAGCUUACUGGGAUGUAACUGACGCUGAUGCACGAAAGCGUGGGGAUCAAACAGGAUUAGAUACCCUGGUAGUCCACGCAGUAAACGAUGAUUACUAGCUGUUAGCGAUAGAAUGUUAGUGGCUAAGCGAAAGCGAUAAGUAAUCCACCUGGGGAGUACGACCGCAAGGUUGAAACUCAAAGGAAUUGACGGGGGCCCGCACAAGCGGAGGAACAUGUGGUUUAAUUCGAUGAUACGCGAGGAACCUUACCCGGGCUUGAAAUGUACCCGAAUAGACUGGAAACAGUUUAGCCAGCAAUGGCGGGUAUGUAGGUGCUGCAUGGUUGUCGUCAGCUCGUGCCGUGAGGUGUCGGCUUAAGUGCCAUAACGAGCGCAACCCUUAUUGAUAGUUACUAGCAGGUAAAGCUGAGGACUCUAUUGAGACUGCCACCGUAAGGUGCGAGGAAGGUGGGGAUGACGUCAAAUCAGCACGGCCCUUACGUCCGGGGCGACACACGUGUUACAAUGGAUGGUACAGAGGGGAGCUACUUAGUGAUAAGAUGCCAAUCUCAAAAACCAUUCGUAGUUCGGAUCGGAGUCUGCAACUCGACUCCGUGAAGCUGGAUUCGCUAGUAAUCGCGCAUCAGCCAUGGCGCGGUGAAUACGUUCCCGGGCCUUGUACACACCGCCCGUCAAGCCAUGGGAGUUGGGGGUGCCUAAAGAUUGUGACCGCAAGGAACGAUUAAGGGCAAAACCAGUGACUGGGGCUAAGUCGUAACAAGGUAGCCG
This 961-nucleotide ribosomal RNA is filed under the name Paludibacter sp. enrichment culture clone F3. Its description in RNAcentral is "bacterial SSU rRNA". It matches the Rfam family "Bacterial small subunit ribosomal RNA", at positions 529 to 1502 of the family's 1533-position model. The record is from RNAcentral. Lineage: Bacteria; Pseudomonadati; Bacteroidota; Bacteroidia; Bacteroidales; Paludibacteraceae.